CCUACGGGAGGCAGCAGUGAGGAAUAUUGGUCAAUGGACGAGAGUCUGAACCAGCCAAGUAGCGUGAAGGAUGACUGCCCUAUGGGUUGUAAACUUCUUUUAUAAAGGAAUAAAACGAGGCACGUGUGCCGUUUUGCAUGUACUUUAUGAAUAAGGAUCGGCUAACUCCGUGCCAGCAGCCGCGGUAAUACUGAGGAUCCGAGCGUUAUCCGGAUUUAUUGGGUUUAAAGGGAGCGUAGAUGGGUUGUUAAGUCAGUUGUGAAAGUUUGCGGCUCAACCGUAAAAUUGCAAUUGAUACUGGCAGUCUUGAGUACAGUUGAGGUAAGCGGAAUUCGUGGUGUAGCGGUGAAAUGCUUAGAUAUCACGAAGAACCCCGAUUGCGAAGGCAGCUUACUAAACUGUGACUGACAUUGAUGCUCGAAAGUGUGGGUAUCAAACAGGAUUAGAUACCCCUGUAGUC
Molecule: ribosomal RNA, 460 nt
Filed under: uncultured bacterium
Lineage: Bacteria
Description: partial 16S ribosomal RNA
Rfam family: Bacterial small subunit ribosomal RNA
Source: RNAcentral